AUUUCAUGAUUCUAGGUUAACGGGAAGUACCCUAUAGGUUUCUUGACAGACAGACAACAAAGUGAUCAUAUAAGGGUUCCGUUUUUCCUUUUGAGGUAAGGAACCCUAAAAAGCGUUAACGUGUGAACAUAUACUUGGAAAUACGUAUUUUGUUUGGACGCUUUUUUAACAGACGUUAAAAAAUCAACGGAAGGAUAGAGAUAGAAAAAUUAACUUAACACAUUUAAAAGGUUGAUACAAGUCGUCCUAAAUGUAAAAUAACACAAUAUAUUACGGACUUCUCCAGAAAACUUAAAUAAUUUUUGCAUUGAACACAUUCCAGAAAAAAAAAUUGGUAAACGUAAAAAAAAUGAUAUAUUCAUAAAUGCAUGACAAUAAAUGAACGAUUUUUUUGAUUUUC
Long non-coding RNA from Maniola jurtina (meadow brown), 400 nucleotides. RefSeq lists it as uncharacterized. The record is from RefSeq and is a predicted model, not a curated record. NCBI's taxonomy places the organism in Eukaryota, Metazoa, Arthropoda, Insecta, Lepidoptera, Nymphalidae. The transcript has 2 exons.